UGGCGGACGGGUGAGUAAUGUCUGGGAAACUGCCUGAUGGAGGGGGAUAACUACUGGAAACGGUAGCUAAUACCGCAUAACGUCGCAAGACCAAAGAGGGGGACCUUCGGGCCUCUUGCCAUCGGAUGUGCCCAGAUGGGAUUAGCUAGUAGGUGGGGUAAAGGCUCACCUAGGCGACGAUCCCUAGCUGGUCUGAGAGGAUGACCAGCCACACUGGAACCGAGACACGGUCCAG
RNAcentral lists this ribosomal RNA (235 nucleotides) under uncultured bacterium. Its description in RNAcentral is "partial 16S ribosomal RNA". It matches the Rfam family "Bacterial small subunit ribosomal RNA", at positions 96 to 334 of the family's 1533-position model. The record is from RNAcentral.